Molecule: ribosomal RNA, 468 nt
Filed under: uncultured bacterium
Lineage: Bacteria
Description: partial 16S ribosomal RNA
Rfam family: Bacterial small subunit ribosomal RNA
Source: RNAcentral
GACGAACGCUGGCGGCGUGCUUAACACAUGCAAGUCGAACGGAAAGGCCCUGCUUUUGUGGGGUGCUCGAGUGGCGAACGGGUGAGUAACACGUGAGUAACCUGCCCUUGACUUUGGGAUAACUUCAGGAAACUGGGGCUAAUACCGGAUAGGAGCUCCUGCUGCAUGGUGGGGGUUGGAAAGUUUCGGCGGUUGGGGAUGGACUCGCGGCUUAUCAGCUUGUUGGUGGGGUAGUGGCUUACCCAGGCUUCGACGGGUAGCCGGCCUGAGAGGGUGACCGGCCACAUUGGGACUGAGAUACGGCCCAGACUCCUACGGGAGGCAGCAGUGGGGAAUAUUGCACAAUGGGCGGAAGCCUGAUGCAGCAACGCCGCGUGCGGGAUGACGGCCUUCGGGUUGUAAACCGCUUUCGCCUGUGACGAAGCGUGAGUGACGGUAAUGGGUAAAGAAGCACCGGCUAACUACGUG